Long non-coding RNA from Amblyraja radiata (thorny skate), 552 nucleotides. RefSeq lists it as uncharacterized. Lineage: Eukaryota; Metazoa; Chordata; Chondrichthyes; Rajiformes; Rajidae. The record is from RefSeq and is a predicted model, not a curated record. The transcript has 3 exons.
CACACUCACCAUUACCGGAGUAUUGCGGGCGGACGGGCCGUUCACCUGCCGGGCCUCCAACGCGGUUAGCGCGAAGACAAGCGAGCCGCUCCCUGUCAAUGUCUUUUACGGGCCGGAUAUUUCGAUUAUAGUUCCUGAACCCGCCAUCCCUGCUUACACUCCCGGGACCGACGUCACUUUAACCUGUUAUGCACAGUCUAAACCAGCUGCUGUGUUGAGCUGGUACCUUCAAGGUAACUUGGUCCAGAGUGGAGACGAACUCAACAUUCCCAAUGUUUCCAAUAAAGACAUUGGGAGUUAUGUCUGUCAGGCCUUUAACGAUGUAACCGGAAGGUACAUUUCCUCAUCAAUAGAAAUCGAUGUUCUGGAACCGGUGGGGAAUGUUAGUCUACGAUCCACUAAUUCUCACCCAGUGGAACAGCGAGACUCCGUCUUAUUGACGGGCAGCUCCCAGGGAACUCAUCUGAAGCGGGAAUGGUUUUUCAACAACCACCCCAUCCAGCAGAAUGACAGGAUAACUAUAUCCGGAUACAUUCUGCUUAUUGGCCCAGU